This 487-nucleotide ribosomal RNA is filed under the name Diutina rugosa. RNAcentral's name for it is "eukaryotic LSU rRNA". It matches the Rfam family "Eukaryotic large subunit ribosomal RNA", at positions 62 to 648 of the family's 3401-position model. The record is from RNAcentral. Lineage: Eukaryota; Fungi; Ascomycota; Pichiomycetes; Serinales; Debaryomycetaceae.
AAACCAACCGGGAUUGCCUCAGUAACGGCGAGUGAAGCGGCAACAGCUCAAAUUUGAAAGCCCGCGGGCGUUGUAAUUUGCAGGCGGAUGUUUUGGGGCGGGCGCUGUCUACGUUCCUUGGAACAGGACGCCGCAGAGGGUGAGAGCCCCGUGCGAUGGCGCCUCUAACCGCGUAAAACUCCGCCGACGAGUCGAGUUGUUUGGGAAUGCAGCUCCAAGUGGGUGGUAAAUUCCAUCUAAAGCUAAAUACUGGCGAGAGACCGAUAGCGAACAAGUACAGUGAUGGAAAGAUGAAAAGCACUUUGAAAAGAGAGUGAAACAGCACGUGAAAUUGUUGAAAGGGAAGGGUAUGCGAUUAGCGGCCAGCAGGAGGUGCCUUCUCUCGUGAAAAGGCCGUGCACCGUCUUCGGACACCGUGCGCGGAGAUGGCGAGGGGGCGCCUGAGGUCUGCGAACUCGAGGUUGCUGGCGUAAUGAUUGCAUACCAC